This 71-nucleotide transfer RNA is filed under the name Ornithorhynchus anatinus (platypus). It matches the Rfam family "tRNA". From Rfam's summary of the family: Transfer RNA (tRNA) molecules are approximately 80 nucleotides in length. Their secondary structure includes four short double-helical elements and three loops (D, anti-codon, and T loops). Further hydrogen bonds mediate the characteristic L-shaped molecular structure. tRNAs have two regions of fundamental functional importance: the anti-codon, which is responsible for specific mRNA codon recognition, and the 3' end, to which the tRNAs corresponding amino acid is attached (by aminoacyl-tRNA synthetases). tRNAs cope with the degeneracy of the genetic code in two manners: having more than one tRNA (with a specific anti-codon) for a particular amino acid; and 'wobble' base-pairing, i.e. permitting non-standard base-pairing at the 3rd anti-codon position. The record is from Rfam by way of RNAcentral. Lineage: Eukaryota; Metazoa; Chordata; Mammalia; Monotremata; Ornithorhynchidae.
AGCAGUGUGGCUCAGUGGAAAGGGCACGGGCUUGGGAGUCAGAAUCAUGGGUUCGAAUCCCAGCUCUGCCA